RNAcentral lists this long non-coding RNA (458 nucleotides) under Mytilus galloprovincialis (Mediterranean mussel). The record is from RNAcentral. Lineage: Eukaryota; Metazoa; Mollusca; Bivalvia; Mytilida; Mytilidae.
UUCUUGCUUUUGAACAUUUUUCGUCACAACAGCUUUCUUUUCUAAAUUAUCUUUAAAAGGAGAGGAGACGUCAAAAGUUUGCUUCAAACACGUGCGUCGCAAAGUGGUCAAUAAAUUCUGUAUGUGACAUUUAGCGGAAGCCAUUUAACCAUAUCAUUUUGUCAAACAAUUCAAUCAACACCUUUAUUAAUUAGUCCUUUGUUGUCGAUAGUUAUAAAAUGCAAUCAGCUGAUUAUUGAUUUUCUGUUCAAAUCUUAAUGAGGUCAAGGUGAAUUCCGAGUAUUGUCUGAUCGGGUAAAGUCCGAGAAACUUGAAAAAAGUAAAUAAACAAGAUGGAGGAAAAUAAAUCGUUAAAUAUAUUUCUUUCGCCAAAUUCUUUCGCAAAUGACGAAUUUUUAUCGCCACAAUUAUUAUUUUUUCGCAAAUUGCGAAAAUGGCGACCGCCAGCGGAAACCCUG